UACGUAGGUGGCAAGCGUUGUCCGGAUUUAUUGGGUUUAAAGGGUGCGUAGGCGGCCUUGUAAGUCAGUGCUGAAAUAUCCCGGCUUAACCGGGAGGGUGGCAUUGAUACUGCAGGGCUUGAGUAAAGUUGAGGUUGGCGGAAUUGACGGUGUAGCGGUGAAAUGCUUAGAUAUCAAGUGGAACACCAGUGGCGAAGGCGAAUCCCUGGAAAAUACCUGACACUGAGGCACGAAGGCUAGGGGAGCAAACAGG
Molecule: ribosomal RNA, 253 nt
Filed under: uncultured bacterium
Lineage: Bacteria
Description: partial 16S ribosomal RNA
Rfam family: Bacterial small subunit ribosomal RNA
Source: RNAcentral